RNAcentral lists this ribosomal RNA (1452 nucleotides) under Escherichia coli. Its description in RNAcentral is "partial 23S ribosomal RNA". It matches the Rfam family "Bacterial large subunit ribosomal RNA", at positions 1430 to 2862 of the family's 2925-position model. The record is from RNAcentral. Lineage: Bacteria; Pseudomonadati; Pseudomonadota; Gammaproteobacteria; Enterobacterales; Enterobacteriaceae.
UUAAUAUUCCUGUACUUGGUGUUACUGCGAAGGGGGGACGGAGAAGGCUAUGUUGGCCGGGCGACGGUUGUCCCGGUUUAAGCGUGUAGGCUGGUUUUCCAGGCAAAUCCGGAAAAUCAAGGCUGAGGCGUGAUGACGAGGCACUACGGUGCUGAAGCAACAAAUGCCCUGCUUCCAGGAAAAGCCUCUAAGCAUCAGGUAACAUCAAAUCGUACCCCAAACCGACACAGGUGGUCAGGUAGAGAAUACCAAGGCGCUUGAGAGAACUCGGGUGAAGGAACUAGGCAAAAUGGUGCCGUAACUUCGGGAGAAGGCACGCUGAUAUGUAGGUGAAGCGACUUGCUCGUGGAGCUGAAAUCAGUCGAAGAUACCAGCUGGCUGCAACUGUUUAUUAAAAACACAGCACUGUGCAAACACGAAAGUGGACGUAUACGGUGUGACGCCUGCCCGGUGCCGGAAGGUUAAUUGAUGGGGUCAGCGCAAGCGAAGCUCUUGAUCGAAGCCCCGGUAAACGGCGGCCGUAACUAUAACGGUCCUAAGGUAGCGAAAUUCCUUGUCGGGUAAGUUCCGACCUGCACGAAUGGCGUAAUGAUGGCCAGGCUGUCUCCACCCGAGACUCAGUGAAAUUGAACUCGCUGUGAAGAUGCAGUGUACCCGCGGCAAGACGGAAAGACCCCGUGAACCUUUACUAUAGCUUGACACUGAACAUUGAGCCUUGAUGUGUAGGAUAGGUGGGAGGCUUUGAAGUGUGGACGCCAGUCUGCAUGGAGCCGACCUUGAAAUACCACCCUUUAAUGUUUGAUGUUCUAACGUGGACCCGUGAUCCGGGUUGCGGACAGUGUCUGGUGGGUAGUUUGACUGGGGCGGUCUCCUCCUAAAGAGUAACGGAGGAGCACGAAGGUUGGCUAAUCCUGGUCGGACAUCAGGAGGUUAGUGCAAUGGCAUAAGCCAGCUUGACUGCGAGCGUGACGGCGCGAGCAGGUGCGAAAGCAGGUCAUAGUGAUCCGGUGGUUCUGAAUGGAAGGGCCAUCGCUCAACGGAUAAAAGGUACUCCGGGGAUAACAGGCUGAUACCGCCCAAGAGUUCAUAUCGACGGCGGUGUUUGGCACCUCGAUGUCGGCUCAUCACAUCCUGGGGCUGAAGUAGGUCCCAAGGGUAUGGCUGUUCGCCAUUUAAAGUGGUACGCGAGCUGGGUUUAGAACGUCGUGAGACAGUUCGGUCCCUAUCUGCCGUGGGCGCUGGAGAACUGAGGGGGGCUGCUCCUAGUACGAGAGGACCGGAGUGGACGCAUCACUGGUGUUCGGGUUGUCAUGCCAAUGGCACUGCCCGGUAGCUAAAUGCGGAAGAGAUAAGUGCUGAAAGCAUCUAAGCACGAAACUUGCCCCGAGAUGAGUUCUCCCUGACUCCUUGAGAGUCCUGAAGGAACGUUGAAGACGACGACGUUGAUAGGCC